Molecule: long non-coding RNA, 931 nt
Filed under: Anas platyrhynchos platyrhynchos (common mallard)
Lineage: Eukaryota; Metazoa; Chordata; Aves; Anseriformes; Anatidae
Description: lncRNA (ENSAPLG00000028397.1)
Source: RNAcentral
GGACAGCUGCUAUAAAUACAGCAAAUCAGGCUGUGGAAAGGUGAUGGAUGAAGAUGCUGCAGGUGUCCCUGGAAACAUGCUAGCAUGCCUUGCGUCUUGGCCUUGUCUCCUAGCAGAAGUUAGCAGCAAGCUAACACAGGCUGUAGCCUGCAAGAGAUGCUGAACUUCAGUCUGAUUUUCCCUGAAAAAUGACAAAUAGUGACUUCAAGAGUAAAGGAUUAAUAAUAUAGGAAUAAACCAUGAUGAAUUUUACAUUACUCAGAGACAACAGGUCACCCAGGAUCUGAAGCGUGGGAACAGCACCAUCUAUUGCACGGCUGCCCUUACCAUCGCAGAGUCGAACCUUACAGCUUCCCCUGCAUGGCCUUCACAAAAGCUCUAUUCACCACGUUGCAAGUACAGUUUAGCAGUUGGAAAAAGAAGCAUGUUAGAGUAGUCUCAUCUUUGAAAGUCAAUAUCCGUCCACAAACCACAGUGAUCGGAGUAUAUGAAAUACAAAUAUAUGAAAUACAAAUUUCAUAUCCAUGACUACAUUUGUAUAGAGGCUUUUAAUUAUUCUUUUCUUUCUUUCAAGUGCCCCCUGAAGCAGGAGUUGGAUUUAAGGAGUUAGUACAGACAGAUAAUGAACUCCAUAAUAGAGGAUCAAUCACUGGGGAAGCAAACCAGACAGAAAUAAUCCUUCUGUAGGCAUUUGGUAAAAUUAGACUAUAUUUACUGAAUUGGAGAAAACCUACAAAAGAAAACUGUGUGGGGCAGAAUUAAGAGAAAAAGUUAUAAGCAUGUAAGAGAUGUAUCUUCACAUAACCAUGGCAAGAACUUGGUUUAGACUCUUGCCAAGAACUGGUAGUAUUUCACAAUGGCUACCUAAUAACAUUUUUUUAAGUGGUAAUGUAAUGACCCUUUGGAAGAUCACACAUUCGUGUGCUAAACA